UAUUCUGCCCCAUGGGGAAGGAUGAGAAGCUUCGACUAAGGUUCGACUCGAGCGAAGCGAGAGAACGUUGCCGCAGGCAACGGCCCGAAGGGCGAGGCGCUUUAGCGCCUUGUAAUCCUUCCCCCACCACCA
RNAcentral lists this small RNA (132 nucleotides) under Klebsiella pneumoniae. RNAcentral's name for it is "RtT sRNA". It matches the Rfam family "RtT RNA". Rfam says of the family: This family represents a bacterial cis-regulatory element known as RtT RNA. The exact function of RtT is unknown although it is thought that it may be involved in changing the cellular response in relation to amino acid starvation. Lineage: Bacteria; Pseudomonadati; Pseudomonadota; Gammaproteobacteria; Enterobacterales; Enterobacteriaceae. The record is from RNAcentral.